RNAcentral lists this long non-coding RNA (2189 nucleotides) under Trifolium pratense (red clover). RNAcentral describes it as "long non-coding RNA (TPRA_LNC013081)". The record is from RNAcentral. Lineage: Eukaryota; Viridiplantae; Streptophyta; Magnoliopsida; Fabales; Fabaceae.
UCAGAUAGCGUUAAGGAUAAUAUAGGAAUAAAAACUUUAUCACUUAUAUUGUUUCAUGAUAUUACAUUUCCUCAUAGAAAUAAAUAAAUAUGAGUCUUCAUACAAAUAUAUUAGAGUUAUGUUAUUUGUUACUAUAAAGUUGAUAUAAAGUUGAUCAUCCCUCCCAAGCACAUCAGAAAGAAGUUUAAUCAUGUCACCGACAACAAUUCUCCCCGUCGCCACCAUUCUUUUCCAUUCCCCACCAAUCUUAAAUAUGGAAAAUAACCAUAUAUGAGAAUACAAUUCCAUAUGUUCUCACAGUCAUCAAUAAUCUUAAUUAUAGUAUUUUUUUUCUCAAAAGUCUUCUAAAUAAACUCUUCAUACGGUAGCAUCUACGGAAUUAAUAACACAAAAUUUGUGUCAGUAAAUACAUAUAUGUAACACAGUUGUAUCAUAAAAUACUCUACUUGUAAUAAAACUUACGAAAAACUCUAUUGUAACGUCAUAAGGAGUUAAUUUUUUCUCAAAACUGAUGUCAUCAAAACCAAUUUCACGAGUAUAUAUACGACAUGAUCAAUAUCUUCUGGGAGGCCAGAUACAAAGACAGACCCAACACAUUAUUUGGUAAGUUCAAUAAGUUAGCUUAUAGCUUGUUGAGAUUAUCCCAUAACAAAACAACUAAACAAUUACCUAGGAGAAAAUAUAAAAACAAUUGGGGGUUUGCAUAACAAUUUGGUGUGACACUUUCGAAAGUAAAAGUGAGAUUAAAUCAAUAAAGGUAAAAACGAUUAGAUCUCUUUGAAUCUUCUAAUUAAAGUUGCUUGGAAGUACGGUCUAUUUUAAUUAAUUAUUCGAUUAGUAUAACGAUGAAUUAACAAAAUGGUCAUGACCAAUCUCUUGGCUCAUAACCCUCUUCCUCGGUUAUGAUCCCCUCGUCUCUUAGACGAAUUCAUAAUCGAUGAAGGUUUGAUUGAGCGUUAAUUCCUAAAAUCACAACCAACAAUUCAAUAUCUCUAAAGUAAUUAAGGGUUGAAUAAUCAUGCUAAAUCAAAUAUCAAACCCUAGUGUCAUUGGUGAAUUUCUAUCUAAAAUCAUUUAAUGUGUGAUAAACAUGAAAAACAUUAAGAACAAGCAUGAUUAAAUGAUACUAACUUCGUAAUUAAUCAAAACAGUACUCAAACACUACACUCAAAUAUUGCAUGGAGUCGAGCAACAUUAAUUAAAUUUAUCUAAAAGACAUAAUCUAUGAGUUUAGCAACACAUAAUAUUCAAAGAAAUAAACAUAUAAAAGAAGAAGAAACUAAAACCUCGGAAUGAGACAAUCUUCCAUGGUCUCGUGGCCAAAAAAAGACAUUUGGUCAACCAACCAAAACUUGACAACUCAUAUUAGGUGAGAGAAAAUGGCCAAUGAAAAGCAAAGAGAAAGAACGCAUACAGUUCCAUUUUCUCUGUGUUUGUUUUUAUUCACAGCUUCCAUCUUCUUCAACCUCUUUUUUUGUUUUUUUGUUUUUUAAUGGAAUUCUUCAACCAAUUGAAUAUGAAGCAUUAGCAAUGUAAGAAAAUAGAAAGUAACACAUUGUACUGUACUUCAAAACUAUAUAAUAAUUUGUUUAACACCAAUAUAAUAAGUGAUAAACCAAUUCUAUUUGAUGGAAAAAACAUGACAAACAGUUCAAUUUGAGUAUGGAAACCAUUAGUCCACUCAAAGGUGAAAAACUUUUUAUCACUUCUUGCAAAAGUUUCUAAGAAUUUCUAAGAACCAAGCUCUAUUUAAUCAUGAAGGAAAAACAACGUUUUGUCUUUAUGAUUUGCAAGAAAAAAUUGUCACAGCUAGAAAUAUCUUCAGAUCAGAAAAAGAUAGUGCAGACAGUGAUUUUGGAAAGUGUUGUUGUGUUUCCGUCGGGACGGUGGAUCUAGGUUGCAGUUGAUCUGGAUUUGACGAGAACCAUCUUUGUCUCUUUCAAGUAAAUAAAGAUUUUUUUUAAAAAAAAAAAAUAUAUAGACUUGAACAUGUUAUUCUAUGUGUACCUUUUUAAUUGGUUGGGACCAAAAAUGAUGUGUUGGUCCAAUGACCACACAAGAAUAUCUCCCAAAGAAUAGUGCCAGCGUCAGUUUUUAGCUUUGAUCCAUUCCUUAAUUUGUUUGUUCCAUGAAGCAGAGCUAUGGUUCCGUUCCCUUCUUCCUCCGCAGCUUCUGUUUUCGUCUCAAUU